GCUGGCGGCGUGCUUAACACAUGCAAGUCGAACGAACCUUCGGGUUAGUGGCGGACGGGUGAGUAACGCGUGGGAAUCUGCCCUCAGGAGGGGGAUAACGGCUGGAAACGGCCGCUAAUACCCCAUAUGCCGAGAGGUGAAACGAAUUUCGCCUGAGGAUGAGCCCGCGUCUGAUUAGCUAGUUGGUGGGGUAAGAGCCUACCGAGAAUUCGAUCAGUAGCUGGUCUGAGAGGAUGAUCAGCCACACUGUCUCUGAGACACGGGACAGACUCCUACGUGAUCCUGCAGUGGGG
This 293-nucleotide ribosomal RNA is filed under the name uncultured bacterium. RNAcentral's name for it is "partial 16S ribosomal RNA". It matches the Rfam family "Bacterial small subunit ribosomal RNA", at positions 35 to 359 of the family's 1533-position model. The record is from RNAcentral.